RNAcentral lists this long non-coding RNA (42527 nucleotides) under Brassica napus (rape). RNAcentral describes it as "long non-coding RNA (BNAP_LNC021931)". Lineage: Eukaryota; Viridiplantae; Streptophyta; Magnoliopsida; Brassicales; Brassicaceae. The record is from RNAcentral.
GCAGCGUCAAACCCCGAUUUCUUUUUCCCAAUAGAAAUACAUAUUCAUCUAGAAAAAGUAAAUUUUCCUAAAUCGAAAAGACUACGUACGACCCAACGAAUGCUGGAUUUUUACUGGUGCACACAAAUUUAAUACACCUCAAAAUGCAACACAUUCAAAUCAAAAUUGUCCAAAAGCAAAAGGUAACUGUGAGUAACUAAAAAGAACACCAAAAAAGAUUAACACAUUUGCAUAGAUACAUCAUGGAAACUAUUCGUCCAAUGUUUUGCAGCUUUUGCUUACAUUGUUUGUUUCUUUACAGACAAAACCAGAGAGUCCUCUCAAUAUGUGUAAGCUUCCACUUUCACUACUGGUACAUAAACAUCGGAUUGAUGUCAACAUUUUGUUAUUUACCUUGGCUUUGGUUGUGUAGCAAAAGAGAGCAAGGGUUAAAUGAGUCUAUGGUGUAAUGGACUAACCAGAAACAUGGUCUGUGACCGACGCAGCAUCUCAGUCAUUAGUUAUCCCAUGACUGAACCUGUUAAUCAACACAAUGUCUGAUGAGGCCAUCCAAGUAGAGGUUCCCAUAGUUAGGCGCGGUCCGACUACCCGGAGUGGAACCAGGGCUUUGCGAGAAGGUUUCACCAAGGCUGUCCAACAAAUCCUUGAUCGAGAUGGACAAACUGACCAGGACCAGCUGCUGAUUGAGGAGAUGGUCCAGUUGAAGAUUCAAGAUCAAGCCGGCCCAACGGAGGUUCAGGACGCGACCGGCCCGAUCCAGUUCAGACUCAACCAAGCCGGACGUCUCAUUUCCACAUCCGAGCUUGGACCAGAUCCCAUUUCCAUUUCUUCCACUCUAACUCUUCAUGGUUCUGAGAUCUAGCCGACAUCAGAAGGAUUGGUAUGUUGUUGUACUCUUUUUCCUUAUCGGGUUUUGUCCCACUAGGUUUUCCCGAAAGGUUUUAACGAGGCAACAUGCAAGCAUACUAUGAAUUCUGGUUUAGGCAUUCUCAAACCGACAACCAGUUGUCUGGUUUAUCUUUAUUUUUAUUUAUUUAUUUGGUUAAGACUUUGGGCUUUUGUUUCAGCCUCAUUUUCGGCCAGCAUGUUUUAAGGCCUUUUUUAUUUUGAGACCCAUCAAAUUUUCAUUUAAUUGCAUUUAAUUUUCUUGGCUUGCACUUCAAGAUUUUCCAUAUUUAAAAAAAAAAAAAAAAUUGUACUUUCCAUUUUUUAAAUUUCGAUUUUUACUUUCCUUUCUUUUGAAUCAGAUUUUCAUUUAAUUGCAUUCAAUUUGUCUUGGCUUGCACUUCAAGUUUUUCCUAUUUAAAAAAAAAAGAAGGAAGUUUUACAUUCAUUACAUGCCUUAGAUAAAUAUUAUUUCAUUCUCUUUUGUUUCCUUGCAAAUCACUUGUUUCUUUUCUUUCUCUGGUCGCAGGAGACAUGGGCGACCUAGAUGGAGCACCAACACAAGCCGAGAUCAAUGCUCAGCUGUUGGCUAACCAUGCUGAACUCCAAGCCGCACUGGCUACGGUGACUGAGCAGCUGGCUCAGAUAACAGGGAGAAACCGAGCUAAUGCUCCACAGCCAAGGAGGAGAAACCAACCCAUUCCAGAAGAGCAACAAUCCCAAUCCAGUGAGGACAACUCGGACACUGACCGUACCGAACCGGACGAGCCGCGGCGUGAACGAGCCGGACGUGGGAACCGACGGGAGUAUCGGGUCCAAGGCGAUGCAAGCCCGGUCCGAAGGAGAUUCCGAGACGAUGAAGUAGCUUGGCAAGGAGGCAAGGAUCUCAAACUUACUCCUCCAACCUUUGCUGGAAAGGUUGACCCGGACGCCUACAUUGAAUGGGAGAGGCGCAUGGAGUACAUCUUUGAAUACUACCGCUAUACCGAGGCCAAGAAGAUCGCCUUAGCCGCAGCCCAACUGACGGACAAUGCCCUAACCUGGUGGGACAGGGAAGUAGCCGAGGUCGGCAGGGUCUAUAGGAUUGAGACUUGGGAUGAGAUGCGAGCUAAGCUCCGUGCAAGGUAUAUUCCCUCAUACUAUCAGCGGGACUUACUAAAACGUUUUCGCAAGUUGUCUCAGGGUACUAGGUCCGUAGAGGAGUACUUUGAGGAGUUUGAGGCUCUCAAGAACAAGCUCAGGACGCGCGAGACCGAAGAGGUUAUGAUGGCUCAGUUCUUGGAAGGCCUUCAAGACCGCAUCGCUCGCAAGGUGGAGAGGCAGACCUACGUCAACUUCAAUGAUCUCCUCCACUAUGCCAUUCAGGCCGAGCAGCACAUUAAAAGGAAGAACGCCUCUAGUGCCAGGAACAAGACGCCAUGGGCUUCAUCCGGAUCCAAGGGGGCUGAGAAGAACAAAUCCAUUGAAGUGGAAAACCGGUUCAAGAAGAGCCAAACCGACCAGUCCAAACCAGGUUCAUCCGAACCAGGUAAGGGACAAACACAAGCUCAAAGAACUCGUGAUAUUACUUGUUUCAAAUGUCAGGGGAAGGGGCACUACGCCAGGGACUGUCCGAACAAGCGUGUCAUGAUCCUUAAGGCAGACGGCGAGUAUGAGUCCCAAGACGAGGCCGAUGUAGAGAUGGCUGACUCAGGAGACGAGAUAGUGGACUAUGCUGAAACUGGUGAGCUACUGGUGGUCAGACGAGCUCUCAGUGCUCUCUUUGAUCCAGAAACCGUCCAACGAGAGAACAUCUUCCAUACUAGAUGUAGCGUGGAAGGCAAGGUAUGUAGUCUAAUUAUUGAUGGUGGCUCUUGCACUAACGUGGCCAGCAGGUACCUUGUUGAGAAGUUAGGACUAGCAAAGUUGCCACACCCCAGGCCAUACAAGCUCAAGUGGCUCAAUGAUGAGACGGAGCUUAAAAUCUCGGAGCAAGUUGUUGUUACCUUUUGUAUUGGUAAGUACCAGGACCAGGUGAAGUGUGAUGUGGUUCCUAUGCAAGCCGGCCAUCUACUGUUAGGGAGGCCUUGGCAGUUUGACAAGGAGACUAUUCACCAUGGGAGGACUAACAUCUACAGCUUUACCCACAACAACAAGAAGCACAGCCUGGCUCCUCUCAGUCCACAAGAGGUGUACGAGAUGCAGAGGGCCAUGGAUCAGUCUGGAUUGUUUAGUAAAACUAACCUUUACAUCUCUUCUAGUAAAUUGAUUAAAUCAUUGCAGCAAGACACACAGGUGCUACUAAUGGUUUUCAAGGAAGGUUGUUUUGCAGGUUUUGAGGCACCAGAUUGUCCAGCUGAGAUGCAAGGACUAAUGGACCAGUACAAGGACGUGUUCCCUGAAGAGAUACCAGCCGGCUUACCACCCCUCCGAGGCAUCGAACAUCAGAUAGACUUUGUGCCAGGCGCCCCACUUCCAAACCGAGCCGCAUACCGAGUCAAUCCGGAGGAGGCUAAGGAGCUGGAGAGACAGGUCCAAGACCUCAUGGACAAGGGGUACAUUCGAGAGAGUCUCAGCCCAUGUGCAGUACCCGUCCUAUUGGUGCCUAAGAAGGAUGGAACAUGGCGUAUGUGUGUUGAUUGCCGAGCCAUCAACAACAUCACCAUAAAAUAUCGGUACCCCAUUCCUAGACUUGAUGAUAUGUUAGAUGAACUGAGUGGUUCCACCGUGUUUUCCAAGAUUGAUCUUAGGAGUGGCUAUCACCAAGUUCGGAUGAAGGAGGGAGACGAGUGGAAGACUGCUUUCAAGACCAAGCAAGGCUUGUAUGAGUGGCUGGUGAUGCCCUUUGGUCUUACCAACGCCCCUAGUACCUUCAUGAGGCUUAUGAACGAGGUUCUAAGGCCUUACAUUGGUAAAUUUGUGGUUGUCUAUUUUGAUGACAUAUUGAUCUAUAGUCAGUGCUUAUCCGAUCACAUUAGUCAUGUAGAACAGGUUUUGAAGGCUCUCAGGCAGGAAGGACUCUUUGCCAAUCUCAAGAAGUGUGUAUUUUGCACUGACCAGUUAAUAUUUUUAGGCUUUGUUGUGAGUUCACAGGGUUUGAAGGUCGAUGAGGAGAAGAUCAAGGCCAUCCAAGACUGGCCCACACCGACCACUAUUGGGCAAGUCCGAAGUUUCCAUGGCCUAGCCAGCUUCUAUAGGCGGUUUGUCAAGGACUUCAGCACCAUUGCUGCACCCAUGACCUCAGUGAUCAAGAAGAAUGUAUCCUUUGUUUGGGGCCCUGCCCAAGAGGAGUCUUUCAACAAGCUUAAAUAUAGUUUAACUCAUGCACCCGUUCUUACACUCCCUGAUUUUAAUAAAACUUUUGAGAUUGAGUGUGAUGCAUCAGGUACAGGCAUUGGAGCUGUCCUCACUCAAGGGGGCCGACCAGUGGCAUUCUUUAGUGAGAAACUGAGUGGAGCUGCCCUCAACUACCCAACCUAUGACAAAGAGCUAUACGCUCUAGUAAGGUCCCUUGAAACUUGGCAGCAUUACCUUUUGUCUAAGGAAUUUGUUAUUCAUACAGAUCAUGAGACACUUAAGCACUUGAGGGGACAGACCACACUCAAGAAGAGGCACGCCAGAUGGCUCGAGUUCGUGGAGACCUUUCCCUAUGUGAUCAAGUACAAGAAGGGCAAGGACAAUGUGGUGGCCGAUGCACUGUCCCGGAGACACACUCUCAUUGUGACCAUGGAGGCCAAGAUCAUGGGUUUCGAGCAUAUUAAAGAAUCUUAUGCCACUGAUCUUGAUUUUAAUGAAGUUUUCAGGAACACUGAGAAGGGGGCUUUUGGAGCAUACUACCAGCACGAGGGGUUCCUGUUCAAGGGAAAGAGGCUGUGCAUUCCCAAAGGAGCCAUGAGGGAACUGCUGGUUCGGGAGGCCCAUGGUGGCGGCCUCAUGGGACACUUUGGUCGGGACAAGACCUUGAGUGUCCUAACUGAACAUUUCUUUUGGCCAAACAUGAAGAGGGAUGUGGAGAGCAUAUGCGCCAAGUGCACUACUUGCCUCAAAACCAAGUCCAGGUCACAUCCUUACGGUUUACAAAUGCCAUUACCGAUUCCUAACCACCCUUGGGUAGACAUUUCUAUGGACUUUGUGCUGGGUUUACCCAAGAUAAACCACAAGGAUUCCAUUUUUGUAGUGGUAGACAGGUUCUCCAAGAUGGCCCAUUUCAUAGCCUGUAACACCACUAAUGAUGCCACUCAGACCGCCGACCUAUUCUUCAAAGAAGUGGUCCGACUACAUGGUGUUCCUCGAACCAUUGUGUCUGACCGUGAUGCCAAGUUCCUCAGCCAUUUCUGGAGGACACUAUGGGGCAAGUUCGGAACCAAGCUACUAUUCUCGACCACUUGCCAUCCCCAGACCGACGGCCAGACUGAGGUAGUAAACCGUACGCUUUCUCAACUGUUGAGAGCUACGGUCGGUAAGAAUUUAAGAAAUUGGUUGUCUUGUUUGCCUUUUGUUGAGUUUGCUUAUAACCAUGCUAGGCACUCUACUACUAACCUGUCACCUUUUGAGAUUGUUUAUGGGUUUCAGCCAGAGACUCCUUUAGACUUCACCGAACUGCCCAGCUCCAUGUACCGCAGUCGUGAUGGAGUCGCCAAGGCAGAGUUUGUUAAGAAUAUGCACCUAAAGGUCAAGGAGAGGAUAGAAGCCAAGGCGGCUAAGGUCAAGGCCAAGUAUGACCAGAAGAGGAAGGAGGUACUGUUCGAACCCGGGGACUUGGUGUGGUUACACAUGCGGCCCGAGAGGUUUCCAGAAGCCCGGAAGUCCAAGCUCUCUCCUCGUGGGACAGGACCAUUCCGCAUCCUAAAGAAGAUCAACGACAACGCCUAUAUCCUUGACCUCCCUGCUGAAUUUAAAAUUUCACAUACUUUCAAUGUCUCGGAUUUGUCUCCUUUCCAUGCAGAUAGUGAUGACUUUGCAGAUGAUGGUGUUCUGAGGCCAGAACCUCUUCAAGAGGGAGGGAAUGAUGAGGCCAUCCAAGUAGAGGUUCCCAUAGUUAGGCGCGGUCCGACUACCCGGAGUGGAACCAGGGCCUUGCGAGAAGGUUUCACCAAAGCUGUCCAGCAUAUCCUUGAUCAAGAUGGACAGACUGACCAGGACCAGCUGCUGAUUGAGAAGAUGGUCCAGUUGAAGAUUCAAGAUCAAGCCGGCCCAAAGGAGGUUCAGGACGCGGCCGACCCGAUCCAGUUCAGACUCAACCAAGCCGGACUUCUCAUCUCCACAUCCGAGCUUGGUCCAGACUCAGUUUCCAUUUCAUCCACUCCAACUCUUUCCGGUUCUGAGAUCUAGCCGACCACCAAGGGGAGUAGCAUGUGUUGUACUCUUUUUCCUCACCAGGUUUUGUCCCAUUGGGUUUUCUUGGUAAGGUUUUAAUGAGGCAACAUGCAAGCAUGCUAUUAGCCUUGGUCUAGGCCUUCUCAAACCGACAACCAGAUGUCUGGUUUAUUUUAAUUUAUUUGGUUAAGACUUUGGGCUAAUGUUUCAGCCUCAUUUUCGGCCAGCUUGUUUAAGGCCUUUUAUCUUUGAGUCUCAUAAGGGGUAAACCCUAUAUAACUCCAUGAAGUUGGCGAUUUUUGCCUAAGUCUUUUAUGAAAUAAUUUUGCCUUUGCAAACCUAAAACCCUAAGUCUUUUUCUGUGAGAAACAAGAGAGAGCAGCCGAAUCUUAUCAAGCUUCAAACCACCAAGCUUGUGGCGAUUCUUCACCUCCAUUCCAUCCAUCGAUUUGCCUUGAGAGUGAUACACAUCCAGCAAGUCAAAUCCCAUAGCUAUCCACCUCCAUCCACUGUUCUUGUUGAGAGAGAUACACAUCCAGCAACAAGGAUCCAUCCCCCAUAUUUCUAUCCUUCUCUUGUUUUGUUUCAGUUUGCAUCAUAUAGUUCUAGAUUUCCAUUCAAUAUAAAAACUCAUAAAAAGUCAUAUUUGUUUAUGUUCUUAACAUAUCAAUUAGUUUCCUUUCAGUUCAUCAUUUUAGAUCCAUAAAAAAACUCAUAAAAAUAUCCCUUAUCUGUUUCAGGAACCAGAUCGGCCAUCGUCCGCUCCAUCGCAUCCGCCCAGCCGCCCCAUAGCCGUCGACCCGUCCUGUCCAGUCCGAGUUCUUAAACCUCUGUCCGCCCAUUUGUAUGGUCUGAAUCUCAGCCUGUAUCAUUUGGGUAUCAGAGCUCAAAGCUCCUACACCUACGGUUGUAUCCUAUCCUUUUACUUUUGUUAUUCAAAAAAAAAAAAAAAUUGAACUUGUUCUUGCUGUUCUUGGCGAGUUCAAAACUUGUUUGUUUGCAUAACUUUGAUCCAUUUUUGUGCAUCCAUCAUUCUAGUAACUUGUUUUUGGCAUCCAUCGAUUUUUACUUUCCUUUUUUGAUCAAAUUUUCAUUUAAUUGCAUUUAAUUUUCUUGGCUUGCACUUCAAGAUUUUCCAUAUUUAAAAAAAAAAAAAAAAUUGUACUUUCCAUUUUUUAAAUUUCGAUUUUUACUUUCCUUUCUUUUGAAUCAGAUUUUCAUUUAAUUGCAUUCAAUUUGUCUUGGCUUGCACUUCAAGUUUUUCCUAUUUAAAAAAAAAAGAAGGAAGUUUUACAUUCAUUACAUGCCUUAGAUAAAUAUUAUUUCAUUCUCUUUUGUUUCCUUGCAAAUCACUUGUUUCUUUUCUUUCUCUGGUCGCAGGAGACAUGGGCGACCUAGAUGGAGCACCAACACAAGCCGAGAUCAAUGCUCAGCUGUUGGCUAACCAUGCUGAACUCCAAGCCGCACUGGCUACGGUGACUGAGCAGCUGGCUCAGAUAACAGGGAGAAACCGAGCUAAUGCUCCACAGCCAAGGAGGAGAAACCAACCCAUUCCAGAAGAGCAACAAUCCCAAUCCAGUGAGGACAACUCGGACACUGACCGUACCGAACCAGAAGAGCCGCGGCGUGAACGAGCCGGACGUGGGAACCGACGGGAGUAUCGGGUCCAAGGCGAUGCAAGCCCGGUCCGAAGAAGAUUCCGAGACGAUGAAGUAGCUUGGCAAGGAGGCAAGGAUCUCAAACUUACUCCCCCAACCUUUGCUGGAAAGGUUGACCCGGACGCCUACAUUGAAUGGGAGAGGCGCAUGGAGUACAUCUUUGAGUACUACCGCUAUACCGAGGCCAAGAAGAUCGCCUUAGCCGCAGCCCAACUGACGGACAAUGCCCUAACCUGGUGGGACAGGGAAGUAGCCGAGGUCGGCAGGGUCUAUAGGAUUGAGACUUGGGAUGAGAUGCGAGCUAAGCUCCGUGCAAGGUAUAUUCCCUCAUACUAUCAGCGGGACUUACUAAAACGUUUUCGCAAGUUGUCUCAGGGUACUAGGUCCGUAGAGGAGUACUUUGAGGAGUUUGAGGCUCUCAAGAACAAGCUCAGGACGCGCGAGACCGAAGAGGUUAUGAUGGCUCAGUUCUUGGAAGGCCUUCAAGACCGCAUCGCUCGCAAGGUGGAGAGGCAGACCUACGUCAACUUCAAUGAUCUCCUCCAUUAUGCCAUUCAGGCCGAGCAGCACAUUAAAAGGAAGAACGCCUCUAGUGCCAGGAACAAGACGCCAUGGGCUUCAACCGGGUCCAAGGGGGCUGAGAAGAACAAAUCCAUUGAAGUGGAAAACCGGUUCAAGAAGAGCCAAACCGACCAGUCCAAACCAGGUUCAUCCGAACCAGGUAAGGGACAAACACAAGCUCAAAGAACUCGUGAUAUUACUUGUUUCAAAUGUCAGGGGAAGGGGCACUACGCCAGGGACUGUCCGAACAAGCGUGUCAUGAUCCUUAAGGCAGACGGCGAGUAUGAGUCCCAAGACGAGGCCGAUGUAGAGAUGGCUGACUCAGGAGACGAGAUAGUGGACUAUGCUGAAACUGGUGAGCUACUGGUGGUCAGACGAGCUCUCAGUGCUCUCUUUGAUCCAGAAACCGUCCAACGAGAGAACAUCUUCCAUACUAGAUGUAGCGUGGAAGGCAAGGUAUGUAGUCUAAUUAUUGAUGGUGGCUCUUGCACUAACGUGGCCAGCAGGUACCUUGUUGAAAGGUUAGGACUAGCAAAAUUGCCACACCCCAGGCCAUACAAGCUCAAGUGGCUCAAUGAUGAGACGGAGCUUAAAAUCUCGGAGCAAGUUGUUGUUUCCUUUUGUAUUGGUAAGUACCAGGACCAGGUGAAGUGUGAUGUGGUUCCUAUGCAAGCCGGCCAUCUACUGUUAGGGAGGCCUUGGCAGUUUGACAAGGAGACUAUUCACCAUGGGAGGACUAACAUCUACAGCUUUACCCACAACAACAAGAAGCACAGCCUGGCUCCUCUCAGUCCACAAGAGGUGUACGAGAUGCAGAGGGCCAUGGAUCAGUCUGGAUUGUUUAGUAAAACUAACCUUUACAUCUCUUCUAGUAAAUUGAUUAAAUCAUUGCAGCAAGACACACAGGUGCUACUAAUGGUUUUCAAGGAAGGUUGUUUUGCAGGUUUUGAGGCACCAGAUUGUCCAGCUGAGAUGCAAGGACUAAUGGACCAGUACAAGGACGUGUUCCCUGAAGAGAUACCAGCCGGCUUACCACCCCUCCGAGGCAUCGAACAUCAGAUAGACUUUGUGCCAGGCGCCCCACUUCCAAACCGAGCCGCAUACCGAGUCAAUCCGGAGGAGGCUAAGGAGCUGGAGAGACAGGUCCAAGACCUCAUGGACAAGGGGUAUAUUCGAGAGAGUCUCAGCCCAUGUGCAGUACCCGUCCUAUUGGUGCCUAAGAAGGAUGGAACAUGGCGUAUGUGUGUUGAUUGCCGAGCCAUCAACAACAUCACCAUAAAAUAUCGGUACCCCAUUCCUAGACUUGAUGAUAUGUUAGAUGAAUUGAGUGGUUCCACCGUGUUUUCCAAGAUUGAUCUUAGGAGUGGCUAUCACCAAGUUCGGAUGAAGGAGGGAGACGAGUGGAAGACUGCUUUCAAGACCAAGCAAGGCUUGUAUGAGUGGCUGGUGAUGCCCUUUGGUCUUACCAACGCCCCUAGUACCUUCAUGAGGCUUAUGAACGAGGUUCUAAGGCCUUACAUUGGUAAAUUUGUGGUUGUCUAUUUUGAUGACAUAUUGAUCUAUAGUCAGUGCUUAUCCGAUCACAUUAGUCAUGUAGAACAGGUUUUGAAGGCUCUCAGGCAGGAAGGACUCUUUGCCAAUCUCAAGAAGUGUGUAUUUUGCACUGACCAGUUAAUAUUUUUAGGCUUUGUUGUGAGUUCACAGGGUUUGAAGGUCGAUGAGGAGAAGAUCAAGGCCAUCCAAGACUGGCCCACACCGACCACUAUUGGGCAAGUCCGAAGCUUCCAUGGCCUAGCCAGCUUCUAUAGGCGGUUUGUCAAGGACUUCAGCACCAUUGCUGCACCCAUGACCUCAGUGAUCAAGAAGAAUGUAUCCUUUGUUUGGGGCCCUGCCCAAGAGGAGUCUUUCAACAAGCUUAAAUAUAGUUUAACUCAUGCACCCGUUCUUACACUCCCUGAUUUUAAUAAAACUUUUGAGAUUGAGUGUGAUGCAUCAGGUACAGGCAUUGGAGCUGUCCUCACUCAAGGGGGCCGACCAGUGGCAUUCUUUAGUGAGAAACUGAGUGGAGCUGCCCUCAACUACCCAACCUAUGACAAAGAGCUAUGCGCUCUAGUAAGGAACACUGAGAAGGGGGCUUUUGGGCCAUACUACCAGCAUGAGGGGUUCCUGUUCAAGGGAAAGAGGCUGUGCAUUCCCAAAGGAGCCAUGAGGGAACUGUUGGUUCGGGAGGCCCAUGGUGGCGGCCUCAUGGGACACUUUGGUCGGGACAAGACCUUGAGUGUCCUAACUGAACAUUUCUUUUGGCCAAACAUGAAGAGGGAUGUGGAGAGCAUAUGCGCCAAGUGCACUACUUGCCUCAAAACCAAGUCCAGGUCACAUCCUUACGGUUUACAAAUGCCAUUACCGAUUCCUAACCACCCUUGGGUAGACAUUUCUAUGGACUUUGUGCUGGGUUUACCCAAGAUAAACCACAAGGAUUCCAUUUUUGUAGUGGUAGACAGGUUCUCCAAGAUGGCCCAUUUCAUAGCCUGUAACACCACUAAUGAUGCCACUCAGACCGCCGACCUAUUCUUCAAAGAAGUGGUCCGACUACAUGGUGUUCCUCGAACCAUUGUGUCUGACCGUGAUGCCAAGUUCCUCAGCCAUUUCUGGAGGACACUAUGGGGCAAGUUCGGAACCAAGCUACUAUUCUCGACCACUUGCCAUCCCCAGACCGACGGCCAGACUGAGGUAGUAAACCGUACGCUUUCUCAACUGUUGAGAGCUACGGUCGGUAAUAAUUUAAGAAAUUGGUUGUCUUGUUUGCCUUUUGUUGAGUUUGCUUAUAACCAUGCUAGGCACUCUACUACUAACCUGUCACCUUUUGAGAUUGUUUAUGGGUUUCAGCCAGAGACUCCUUUAGACUUCACCGAACUGCCCAGCUCCAUGUACCGCAGUCGUGAUGGAGUCGCCAAGGCAGAGUUUGUUAAGAAUAUGCACUUAAAGGUCAAGCAGAGGAUAGAAGCCAAGGCGGCUAAGGUCAAGGCCAAGUAUGACCAGAAGAGGAAGGAGGUACUGUUUGAACCCGGGGACUUGGUGUGGUUACACAUGCGGCCCGAGAGGUUUCCAGAAGCCCGGAAGUCCAAGCUCUCUCCUCGUGGGACAGGACCAUUCCGCAUCCUAAAGAAGAUCAACGACAACGCCUAUAUCCUUGACCUCCCUGCUGAAUUUAAAAUUUCACAUACUUUCAAUGUCUCGGAUUUGUCUCCUUUCCAUGCAGAUAGUGAUGACUUUGCAGAUGAUGGUGUUCUGAGGCAAGAACCUCUUCAAGAGGGAGGGAAUGAUGAGGCCAUCCAAGUAGAGGUUCCCAUAGUUAGGCGCGGUCCGACUACCCGGAGUGUAACCAGGGCCUUGCGAGAAGGUUUCACCAAAGCUGUCCAGCAUAUCCUUGAUCAAGAUGGACAGACUGACCAGGACCAGCUGCUGAUUGAGAAGAUGGUCCAGUUGAAGAUUCAAGAUCAAGCCGGCCCAAAGGAGGUUCAGGACGCGGCCGACCCGAUCCAGUUCAGACUCAACCAAGCCGGACUUCUCAUCUCCACAUCCGAGCUUGGUCCAGACUCAGUUUCCAUUUCAUCCACUCCAACUCUUUCCGGUUCUGAGAUCUAGCCGACCACCAAGGGGAGUAGCAUGUGUUGUACUCUUUUUCCUCACCAGGUUUUGUCCCAUUGGGUUUUCUUGGUAAGGUUUUAAUGAGGCAACAUGCAAGCAUGCUAUUAGCCUUGGUCUAAGCCUUCUCAAACCGACAACCAGAUGUCUGGUUUAUUUUAAUUUAUUUGGUUAAGACUUUGGGCUAAUGUUUCAGCCUCAUUUUCGGCCAGCUUGUUUAAGGCCUUUUUAUCUUUGAGUCUCAUAAGGGGUAAACCCUAUAUAACUCCAUGAAGUUGGCGAUUUUUGCGUAAGUCUUUUAUGAAAUAAUUUUGCCUUUGCAAACCUAAAACCCUAAGUCUUUUUCUGUGAGAAACAAGAGAGAGCAGCCGAAUCUUAUCAAGCUUCAAACCACCAAGCUUGUGGCGAUUCUUCACCUCCAUUCCAUCCACCGAUUUGCCUUGAGAGUGAUACACAUCCAGCAAGCCAAAUCCCAUAGCUAUCCACCUCCAUCCACUGUUCUUGUUGAGAGAGAUACACAUCCAGCAACAAGGAUCCAUCCCCCAUACUUCUAUCCUUCUUUUGUUUUGUUUUAUCUUUCAUCAUAUAGUUCUAGCUUUUUCCAUUCAUUAUAAAAACUCAUAAAAAGUCAUAUUUGCUUAUGUUCUUCAUUGAUCAUAUUGUUUUCUUCCUGUUCCUUAUUUUGAUUCAUAAAAACUCAUAAAAUAGCAUCCUUUUGUUUCAGGAACCAGAUCGGCCAACUCCCAGCCCAUCGCGACCGUCUAGCCGUCCCAUAGCCGUCCGUCCGUCCUGUCCAGUCCGAGUUCCCGAACCUCAGACUGUCCGUCCGUACAGACUGUUUCCCGGCCUGUAUCAUUUUUGGUAUCAGAGCUCAAAGCUCCUACACCUUCGGUUGUAUCCUAUCCUUGCUACUUUUGUUAUUUGGUUCAUCAUCUUGUCUUUCAAAAUUUUUGUUCUUGCUGUUCUUGGCGAGUUCAACUUGUUUUCUUUUUCUGCAUAUCUUUUGAUCCGAUUUUAUGCAUCUUUCAUUCAAGUAAUAUGUUUUUGGCAUCAAUCGAUUUUCACUUUCCUUUUUGAUCAGAUUUUCCAUUUAAUUGCAUUUAAUUUUCUUGGCUUGCACUUCAAGUUCUUUCCAUUUAAAAAAAAAAAAAAGAAAUAUUGUUCUUUCCAUUUUUUUUAAUUUUCCCUUCCCGUGGACUGUCCGUGUAUUGAUCCGUAAUAUUGUUCUUUCCAUUUUUUUUAAUUUUCGAAACUUAACUUUAAAAAAAAAAAAAGGAAGUUUUACAUUCAUUGAUCAUUGCAUAUAUUUCCCUUUCUCUUUGAUCCUUGCAGAUCACUCUUUCUUCUUCCUCUCUUGUCGCAGGAGACAUGGGAGACCUAAAUGGAGCACCUACACAAGCCGAGAUCAAUGCUCAGCUGAUGGCUAACCAUGCUGAACUCCAAGCCGCACUGGCUACUGUGACUGAGCAGCUGGCUCAUAUAGCAGGGAGGGACCGAGCUAAUGUACCACGGCCAAGGAGGAGAAACCAACCCGUUCCAGAGGAACAACAGUCCCAAUCCAGUGAGGACAACUCGGACACUGACCGUACCGAACCAGAAGAGCCGCGGCGUGAACGAGCCGGACGUGGGAACCGACGGGAGUAUCGGGUCCAAGGCGAUGCAAGCCCGGUCCGAAGAAGAUUCCGAGACGAUGAAGUAGCUUGGCAAGGAGGCAAGGAUCUCAAACUUACUCCCCCAACCUUUGCUGGAAAGGUUGACCCGGACGCCUACAUUGAAUGGGAGAGGCGCAUGGAGUACAUAUUUGAGUACUACCGCUAUACCGAGGCCAAGAAGAUCGCCUUAGCCGCAGCCCAACUGACGGACAAUGCCCUAACCUGGUGGGACAGGGAAGUAGCCGAGGUCGGCAGGGUCUAUAGGAUUGAGACUUGGGAUGAGAUGCGAGCUAAGCUCCGUGCAAGGUAUAUUCCCUCAUACUAUCAGCGGGACUUACUAAAACGUUUUCGCAAGUUGUCUCAGGGUACUAGGUCCGUAGAGGAGUACUUUGAGGAGUUGGAGGCUCUCAAGAACAAGCUUAGGACGCGCGAGACCGAAGAGGUUAUGAUGGCUCAGUUCUUGGAAGGCCUUCAAGACCGCAUCGCUCGCAAGGUGGAGAGGCAGACCUACGUCAACUUCAAUGAUAUCCUCCAUUAUGCCAUUCAGGCCGAGCAGCACAUUAAAAGGAAGAACGCCUCUAGUGCCAGGAACAAGACGCCAUGGGAUUCAACCGGGUCCAAGGGGGCUGAGAAGAACAAAUCCAUUGAAGUGGAAAACCGGUUCAAGAAGAGCCAAACCGACCAGUCCAAACAAGGUUCAUCCGAACCAGGUAAGGGACAAACACAAGCUCAAAGAACUCGUGAUAUUACUUGUUUCAAAUGUCAGGGGAAGGGGCACUACGCCCGGGACUGUCCGAACAAGCGUGUCAUGAUCCUUAAGGCAGACGGCGAGUAUGAGUCCCAAGAUGAGGCCGAUGUAGAGAUGGCUGACUCAGGAGACGAGAUAGUGGACUAUGCUGAAACUGGUGAGCUACUGGUGGUCAGACGAGCUCUCAGUGCUCUCUUUGAUCCAGAAACCGUCCAACGAGAGAACAUCUUCUAUACUAGAUGUAGCGUGGAAGGCAAGGUAUGUAGUCUAAUUAUUGAUGGUGGCUCUUGCACUAACGUGGCCAGCAGGUACCUUGUUGAAAGGUUAGGACUAGAAAAAUUGCCACACCCCAGGCCAUACAAGCUCAAGUGGCUCAAUGAUGAGACAGAGCUUAAAAUCUCGGAGCAAGUUGUUGUUUCCUUUUGUAUUGGUAAGUACCAGGACCAGGUGAAGUGUGAUGUGGUUCCUAUGCAAGCCGGACAUCUACUGUUAGGGAGGCCUUGGCAGUUUGACAAGGAGACUAUUCACCAUGGGAGGACUAACAUCUACAGCUUUACCCACAACAACAAGAAGCACAGCCUGGCUCCUCUCAGUCCACAAGAGGUGUACGAAAUGCAGAGGGCCAUGGAUCAGUCUGGAUUGUUUAGUAAAACUAACCUUUACAUCUCUUCUAGUAAAUUGAUUAAAUCAUUGCAGCAAGACACACUGGUGCUACUAAUGGUUUUCAAGGAAGGUUGUUUUGCAGGUUUUGAGGCACCAGAUUGUCCCGCUGAGAUGCAAGGACUAAUGGACCAGUACAAGGACGUGUUCCCUGAAGAGAUACCAGCCGGCUUACCACCCCUCCGAGGCAUCGAACAUCAGAUAGACUUUGUGCCAGGCGCCCCACUUCCAAACCGAGCCGCAUACCGAGUCAAUCCGGAGGAGGCUAAGGAGCUGGAGAGACAGGUCCAAGACCUCAUGGACAAGGGGUACAUUCGAGAGAGUCUCAGCCCAUGUGCAGUACCCGUCCUAUUGGUGCCUAAGAAGGAUGGAACAUGGCGUAUGUGUGUUGAUUGCCGAGCCAUCAACAACAUCACCAUAAAAUAUCGGUACCCCAUUCCUAGACUUGAUGAUAUGUUAGAUGAACUGAGUGGUUCCACCGUGUUUUCCAAGAUUGAUCUUAGGAGUGGCUAUCACCAAGUUCGUAUGAAGGAGGGAGACGAGUGGAAGACUGCUUUCAAGACCAAGCAAGGCUUGUAUGAGUGGCUGGUGAUGCCCUUUGGUCUUACCAACGCCCCUAGUACCUUCAUGAGGCUUAUGAACGAGGUUUUAAGGCCUUACAUUGGUAAAUUUGUGGUUGUCUAUUUCGAUGACAUAUUGAUCUAUAGUCAGUGCUUAUCCGAUCACAUUAGUCAUGUAGAACAGGUUUUGAAGGCUCUCAGGCAGGAAGGACUCUUUGCCAAUCUCAAGAAGUGUGUAUUUUGCACUGACCAGUUAAUAUUUUUAGGCUUUGUUGUGAGUUCACAGGGUUUGAAGGUCGAUGAGGAGAAGAUCAAGGCCAUCCAAGACUGGCCCACACCGACCACUAUUGGGCAAGUCCGAAGCUUCCAUGGCCUAGCCAGCUUCUAUAGGCGGUUUGUCAAGGACUUCAGCACCAUUGCUGCACCCAUGACCUCAGUGAUCAAGAAGAAUGUAUCCUUUGUUUGGGGCCCUGCCCAAGAGGAGUCCUUCAAAAAGCUUAAAUAUAGUUUAACUCAUGCACCCGUUCUUACACUCCCUGAUUUUAAUAAAACUUUUGAGAUUGAGUGUGAUGCAUCAGGUACAGGCAUUGGAGCUGUCCUCACUCAAGGGGGCCGACCAGUGGCAUUCUUUAGUGAAAAACUGAGUGGAGCUGGCCUCAACUACCCAACCUAUGACAAAGAGCUAUACGCUCUAGUAAGGUCCCUUGAAACUUGGCAGCAUUACCUUUUAUCUAAGGAAUUUGUUAUCCAUACAGAUCAUGAGACACUUAAGCACUUGAGGGGACAGACCACACUCAAGAAGAGGCACGCCAGAUGGCUCGAGUUCGUGGAGACCUUUCCCUAUGUGAUCAAGUACAAGAAGGGCAAGGACAAUGUGGUGGCCGAUGCACUGUCCCGGAGACACACUCUCAUUGUGACCAUGGAGGCCAAGAUCAUGGGUUUCGAACAUAUUAAAGAAUCUUAUGCCACUGAUCUUGAUUUUAAUGAAGUUUUCAGGAACACUGAGAAGGGGGCUUUUGGGCCAUACUACGAGCAUGAGGGGUUUCUGUUCAAGGGAAAGAAACUGAUCUUGAUUUUAAUGAAGUUUUCAGGAACACUGAGAAGGGGGCUUUUGGAGCAUACUACCAGCACGAGGGGUUCCUGUUCAAGGGCAAGAGGCUGUGCAUUCCCAAAGGAGCAAUGAGGGAACUGCUGGUUCGGGAGGCCCAUGGUGGCGGCCUCAUGGGACACUUUGGUCGGGACAAGACCCUGAGUGUCCUAACUGAACAUUUCUUUUGGCCAAACAUGAAGAGGGAUGUGGAGAGCAUAUGCGCCAAGUGCACUACUUGCCUCAAAACCAAGUCCAGGUCACAUCCUUACGGGUUACAAAUGCCAUUACCGAUUCCUAACCACCCUUGGGUAGACAUUUCUAUGGACUUUGUGCUGGGUUUACCCAAGAUAAACCACAAGGAUUCCAUUUUUGUAGUGGUAGACAGGUUCUCCAAGAUGGCCCAUUUCAUAGCCUGUAACACCACUAAUGAUGCCACUCAGACCGCCGACCUAUUCUUCAAAGAAGUGGUCCGACUACAUGGUGUUCCUCGAACCAUUGUGUCUGACCGUGAUAUCAAGUUCCUCAGCCAUUUCUGGAGGACACUAUGGGGUAAGUUCGGAACAAAGCUACUAUUCUCGACCACGUGCCAUCCCCAGACCGACGGCCAGACUGAGGUAGUAAACCGUACGCUUUCUCAACUGUUGAGAGCUACGGUCGGUAAGAAUUUAAGAAAUUGGUUGUCUUGUUUGCCUUUUGUUGAGUUUGCUUAUAACCAUGCUAGGCACUCUACUACUAACCUGUCACCUUUUGAGAUUGUUUAUGGGUUUCAGCCAGAGACUCCUUUAGACUUCACCGACCUGCCCAGCUCCAUGUACCGCAGUCGUGAUGGAGUCGCCAAGGCAGAGUUUGUUAAGAAUAUGCACUUAAAGGUCAAGGAGAGGAUAGAAGCCAAGGCGGCUAAGGUCAAGGCCAAGUAUAACCAGAAGAGGAAGGAGGUACUGUUCGAACCCGGGGACUUGGUGUGGUUACACAUGCGGCCCGAGAGGUUUCCAGAAGCCCGGAAGUCCAAGCUCUCUCCUCGUGGGACAGGACCAUUCCGCAUCCUAAAGAAGAUCAACGACAACGCCUAUAUCCUUGACCUCCCUGCUGAAUUUAAAAUUUCACAUACUUUCAAUGUCUCGGAUUUGUCUCCUUUCCAUGCAGAUAGUGAUGACUUUGCAGAUGAUGGUGUUCUGAGGCCAGAACCUCUUCAAGAGGGAGGGAAUGAUGAGGCCAUCCAAGUAGAGGUUCCCAUAGUUAGGCGCGGUCCGACUACCCGGAGUGGAACCAGGGCCUUGCGAGAAGGUUUCACCAAAGCUGUCCAGCAUAUCCUUGAUCAAGAUGGACAGACUGACCAGGACCAGCUGCUGAUUGAGAAGAUGGUCCAGUUGAAGAUUCAAGAUCAAGCCGGCCCAAAGGAGGUUCAGGACGCGGCCGACCCGAUCCAGUUCAGACUCAACCAAGCCGGACUUCUCAUCUCCACCUCCGAGCUUGGUCCAGACUCUGUUUCCAUUUCAUCCACUCCAACUCUUUCCGGUUCUGAGAUCUAGCCGACCACCAAGGGGAGUAGCAUGUGUUGUACUCUUUUUCCUCACCAGGUUUUGUCCCAUUGGGUUUUCUUGGUAAGGUUUUAAUGAGGCAACAUGCAAGCAUGCUAUUAGCCUUGGUCUAAGCCUUCUCAAACCGACAACCAGAUGUCUGGUUUAUUUUAAUUUAUUUGGUUAAGACUUUGGGCUAAUGUUUCAGCCUCAUUUUCGGCCAGCUUGUUUAAGGUCUUUUAUCUUUGAGUCUCAUAAGGGGUAAACCCUAUAUAACUCCAUGAAGUUGGCGAUUUUUGCCUAAGUCUUUUAUGAAAUAAUUUUGCCUUUGCAAACCUAAAACCCUAAGUCUUUUUCUGUGAGAAACAAGAGAGAGCAGCCGAAUCUUAUCAAGCUUCAAACCACCAAGCUUGUGGCGAUUCUUCACCUCCAUUCCAUCCACCGAUUUGCCUUGAGAGUGAUACACAUCCAGCAAGCCAAAUCCCAUAGCUAUCCACCUCCAUCCACUGUUCUUGUUGAGAGAGAUACACAUCCAGCAACAAGGAUCCAUCCCCCAUACUUCUAUCUUUCUUUGUUUUGUUUUAUCUUUCAUCAUAUAGUUCUAGCUUUUUCCAUUCAUUAUAAAAACUCAUAAAAAGUCCUAUUUGCUUCUGUUCUUCAUUGAUCAUAUUGUUUUUCUUCCUGUCCCUUAUUUUGAUUUAUAAAAACUCAUAAAAAUAGCAUCCUUUUUGUUUCAGGAACUAGAUCGGCCAACUCUCAGCCCAUCGCGACCGUCUAGCCGUCCCAUAGCCGUCCGUCCAUCCUGUCCAGUCCGAGUUCCCGAACCUCAGACUGUCCGUCCGUGCAGACUGUUUCCCGGCCUGUAUCAUUUUGGUAUCAGAGCUCAAAGCUCCUACACCUUCGGUUGUAUCCUAUCCUUGCUACUUUUGUUAUUUGGUUCAUCAUCUUGUCUUUCAAAAUUUUUGUUCUUGCUGUUCUUGGCGAGUUCAACUUGUUUUCUUUUUCUGCAUAUCUUUUGAUCCGAUUUUAUGCAUCUUUCAUUCAAGUAAUAUGUUUUUGGCAUCAAUCGAUUUUCACUUUCCUUUUUGAUCAGAUUUUCCAUUUAAUUGCAUUUAAUUUCUUGGCUUGCACUUCAAGUUCUAUACAUUUUAUAAAAAAAAAAGAAAUAUUGUUCUUUCCAUUUUUUUUAAUUUUCGAAACUUAACUUUAAAAAAUAAAAAAAUAAAAAGGGAAGUUUUACAUUCAUUGAUCAUUGCAUAUAUUUCCCUUUCUCUUUGAUUCUUGCAGAUCACUUUUUCUUCUUCCUCUCUUGUCGCAGGAGACAUGGGAGACCUAAAUGGAGCACCUACACAAGCCGAGAUCAAUGCUCAGCUGAUGGCUAACCAUGCUGAACUCCAAGCCGCACUGGCUACUGUGACUGAGCAGCUGGCUCAUAUAGCAGGGAGGGACCGAGCUAAUGUACCAUGGCCAAGGAGGAGAAACCAACCCGUUCCAGAGGAACAACAGUCCCAAUCCAGUGAGGACAACUCGGACACUGACCGUACCGAACCAGAAGAGCCGCGGCGUGAACGAGCCGGACGUGGGAACCGACGGGAGUAUCGGGUCCAAGGCGAUGCAAGCCCGGUCCAAAGAAGAUUCCGAGACGAUGAAGUAGCUUGGCAAGGAGGCAAGGAUCUCAAACUUACUCCCCCAACCUUUGCUGGAAAGGUUGACCCGGACGCCUACAUUGAAUGGGAGAGGCGCAUGGAGUACAUCUUUGAGUACUACCGCUAUACCGAGGCCAAGAAGAUCGCCUUAGCCGCAGCCCAACUGACGGACAAUGCCCUAACCUGGUGGGACAGGGAAGUAGCCGAGGUCGGCAGGGUCUAUAGGAUUGAGACUUGGGAUGAGAUGCGAGCUAAGCUCCGUGCAAGGUAUAUUCCCUCAUACUAUCAGCGGGACUUACUAAAACGUUUUCGCAAGUUGUCUCAGGGUACUAGGUCCGUAGAGGAGUACUUUGAGGAGUUUGAGGCUCUCAAGAACAAGCUCAGGACGCGCGAGACCGAAGAGGUUAUGAUGGCUCAGUUCUUGGAAGGCCUUCAAGACCGCAUCGCUCGCAAGGUGGAGAGGCAGACCUACGUCAACUUCAAUGAUCUCCUCCAUUAUGCCAUUCAGGCCGAGCAGCACAUUAAAAGGAAGAACGCCUCUAGUGCCAGGAACAAGACGCCAUGGGCUUCAUCCGGAUCCAAGGGGGCUGAGAAGAACAAAUCCAUUGAAGUGGAAAACCGGUUUAAGAAGAACCAAACCGACCAGUCCAAACCAGGUUCAUCCGAACCAGGUAAGGGACAAACACAAGCUCAAAGAACUCGUGAUAUUACUUGUUUCAAAUGUCAGGGGAAGGGGCACUACGCCAGGGACUGCCCGAACAAGCGUGUCAUGAUCCUUAAGGCAGACGGCGAGUAUGAGUCCCAAGACGAGGCCGAUGUAGAGAUGGCUGACUCAGGAGACGAGAUAGUGGACUAUGCUGAAACUGGUGAGCUGCUGGUGGUCAGACGAGCUCUCAGUGCUCUCUUUGAUCCAGAAACCGUCCAACGAGAGAACAUCUUCCAUACUAGAUGUAGUGUGGAAGGCAAGGUAUGUAGUCUAAUUAUUGAUGGUGGCUCUUGCACUAACGUGGCCAGCAGGUACCUUGUUGAAAAGUUAGGGUUAGCAAAGUUGCCACACCCCAGGCCAUACAAGCUCAAGUGGCUCAAUGAUGAGACGUAUCUUAAAAUCUCGGAGCAAGUUGUUGUUUCCUUUAGUAUUGGUAAGUACCAGGACCAGGUGAAGUGUGAUGUGGUUCCUAUGCAAGCCGGCCAUCUGCUGUUAGGGAGGCCUUGGCAGUUUGACAAGGAGACCAUUCACCAUGGGAGGACUAACAUCUACAGCUUUACCCACAACAACAAGAAGCACAGCCUGGCUCCUCUAAGUCCACAAGAGGUGUACGAGAUGCAGAGGGCCAUGGAUCAGUCUGGAUUGUUUAGUAAAACUAACCUUUACAUCUCUUCUAGUAAAUUGAUUAAAUCAUUGCAGCAAGACACACAGGUGCUACUAAUGGUUUUCAAGGAAGGUUGUUUUGCAGGUUUUGAAGUACCAGAUUGUCCAGCUGAGAUGCAAGGACUAAUGGACCAGUACAAGGACGUGUACCCUGAAGAGAUACCAGCCGGCUUACCACCCCUCCGAGGCAUCGAACAUCAGAUAGACUUUGUGCCAGGCGCCCCACUUCCAAACCGAGCCGCAUACCGAGUCAAUCCGGAGGAGGCUAAGGAGCUGGAGAGACAGGUCCAAGACCUCAUGGACAAGGGGUAUAUUCGAGAGAGUCUCAGCCCAUGUGCAGUACCCGUCCUACUGGUGCCUAAGAAGGAUGGAACAUGGCGUAUGUGUGUUGAUUGCCGAGCCAUCCACAACAUCACCAUAAAAUAUCGGUACCCCAUUCCUAGACUUGAUGAUAUGUUAGAUGAACUGAGUGGUUCCACAGUGUUUUCCAAGAUUGAUCUUAGGAGUGGUUAUCACCAAGUUCGGAUGAAGGAGGGAGACGAGUGGAAGACUGCUUUCAAGACCAAGCAAGGCUUGUAUGAGUGGCUGGGGAUGCCCUUCGGUCUUACCAACGCCCCUAGUACCUUCAUGAGGCUUAUGAACGAGGUUCUAAGGCCUUACAUUGGUAAAUUUGUGGUUGUCUAUUUUGAUGACAUAUUGAUUUAUAGUCAGUGCUUAUCAGAUCACAUUAGUCAUGUAGAACAGGUUUUGAAGGCUCUCAGGCAGGAAGGACUCUUUGCCAAUCUCAAGAAGUGUGUAUUUUGCACUGACCAGUUAAUAUUUUUAGGCUUUGUUGUGAGCUCACAGGGUUUGAAGGUCGAUGAGGAGAAGAUCAAGGCCAUCCAAGACUGGCCCACACCGACCACUAUUGGGCAAGUCCGAAGUUUCCAUGGCCUAGCCAGCUUCUAUAGGCGGUUUGUCAAGGACUUCAGCACAAUUGCUGCACCCAUGACCUCAGUGAUCAAGAAGAAUGUAUCCUUUGUUUGGGGCCCUGCCCAAGAGGAGUCUUUCAACAAGCUUAAAUAUAGUUUAACUCAUGCACCCGUUCUUACACUCCCUGAUUUUAAUAAAACCUUUGAGAUUGAGUGUGAUGCAUCAGGUACAGGCAUUGGAGCUGUCCUCACUCAAGGGGGCCGACCAGUGGCAUUAUUUAGUGAGAAACUGAGUGGAGCCGCCCUCAACUACCCAACCUAUGACAAAGAGCUAUACGCUCUAGUAAGGUCCCUUGAAACUUGGCAGCAUUACCUUUUGUCUAAGGAAUUUGUUAUUCAUACAGAUCAUGAGACACUUAAGCACUUGAGGGGACAGACCACACUCAAGAAGAGGCACGCCAGAUGGCUCGAGUUCGUGGAGACCUUUCCCUAUGUGAUCAAGUACAAGAAGGGCAAGGACAAUGUGGUGGCAGAUGCACUGUCCCGGAGACACACUCUCAUUGUGACCAUGGAGGCCAAGAUCAUGGGUUUCGAACAUAUUAAAGAAUCUUAUGCCACUGAUCUUGAUUUUAAUGAAGUUUUCAGGAACACUGAGAAGGGGGCUUUAGGGCCAUACUACCAGCAUGAGGGGUUCCUGUUCAAGGGAAAGAAGGAACACUGAGAAGGGGGCUUUUGGAGCAUACUACCAGCACGAGGGGUUCCUGUUCAAGGGCAAGAGGCUGUGCAUUCCCAAAGGAGCCAUGAGGGAACUGCUGGUUCGGGAGGCCCAUGGUGGCGGCCUCAUGGGACACUUUGGUCGGGACAAGACCCUGAGUGUCCUAACUGAACAUUUCUUUUGGCCAAACAUGAAGAGGGAUGUGGAGAGCAUAUGCGCCAAGUGCACUACUUGCCUCAAAACCAAGUCCAGGUCACAUCCUUACGGUUUACAAAUGCCAUUACCGAUUCCUAACCACCCUUGGGUAGACAUUUCUAUGGACUUUGUGCUGGGUUUACCCAAGAUAAACCACAAGGAUUCCAUUUUUGUAGUGGUAGACAGGUUCUCCAAGAUGGCCCAUUUCAUAGCCUGUAACACCACUAAUGAUGCCACUCAGACCGCCGACCUAUUUUUCAAAGAAGUGGUCCGACUACAUGGAGUUCCUCGAACCAUUGUGUCUGACCGUGAUACCAAGUUCCUCAGCCAUUUCUGGAGGACACUAUGGGGCAAGUUCGGAACCAAGCUACUAUUCUCGACCACGUGCCAUCCCCAGACCAAUGGCCAGACUGAGGUAGUAAACCGUACGCUUUCUCAACUGUUGAGAGCUACGGUCGGUAAGAAUUUAAGAAAUUUGUUGUCUUGUUUGCCUUUUGUCGAGUUUGCUUAUAACCAUGCUAGGCACUCUACUACUAACCUGUCACCUUUUGAGAUUGUUUAUGGGUUUCAGCCAGAGACUCCUUUAGACUUCACCGAACUGCCCAGCUCCAUGUACCGCAGUCGUGAUGGGGCCGCCAAGGCAGAGUUUGUUAAGAAUAUGCACCUAAAGGUCAAGGAGAGGAUAGAAGCCAAGGCGGCUAAGGUCAAGGCCAAGUAUGACCAGAAGAGGAAGGAGGUACUGUUCGAACCCGGGGACUUGGUGUGGUUACACAUGCGACCCGAGAGGUUUCCAGAAGCCCGGAAGUCCAAGCUCUCGCCUCGUGGAGGGGACUUGGUGUGGUUACACAUGCGGCCCGAGAGGUUUCCAGAAGCCCGGAAGUCCAAGCUCUCUCCUCGUGGGACAGGACCAUUCCGCAUCCUAAAGAAGAUCAACGACAAUGCCUAUAUCCUUGACCUCCCUGCUGAAUUUAAAAUUUCACAUACUUUCAAUGUCUCGGAUUUGUCUCCUUUCCAUGCAGAUAGUGACGACUUUGCAGAUGAUGGUGUUCUGAGGCCAGAACCUCUUCAAGAGGGAGGGAAUGAUGAGGCCAUCCAAGUAGAGGUUCCCAUUGUUAGGCGCGGUCCGACUACCCGGAGUGGAACCAGGGCCUUGCGAGAAGGUUUCACCAAAGCUGUCCAGCAUAUCCUUGAUCAAGAUGGACAGACUGACCAGGACCAGCUGCUGAUUGAGAAGAUGGUCCAGUUGAAGAUUCAAGAUCAAGCCGGCCCAAAGGAGGUUCAGGACGCGGCCGACCCGAUCCAGUUCAGACUCAACCAAGCCGGACUUCUCAUCUCCACAUCCGAGCUUGGUCCAGACUCAGUUUCCAUUUCAUCCACUCCAACUCUUUCCGGUUCUGAGAUCUAGCCGACCACCAAAGGGAGUAGCAUGUGUUGUACUCUUUUUCCUCACCAGGUUUUGUCCCAUUGGGUUUUCUUGGUAAGGUUUUAAUGAGGCAACAUGCAAGCAUGCUAUUAGCCUUGGUCUAAGCCUUCUCAAACCGACAACCAGAUGUCUGGUUUAUUUUAAUUUAUUUGGUUUAGACUUUGGGCUAAUGUUUCAGCCUCAUUUUCGGCCAGCAUGUUUAAGGCCUUUUAUCUUUGAGACUCCUAAGGGGUAAACCCUAUAUAACUCCAUGAAGUUGGCGAUUUUUGCCUAAGUCUUUUAUGAAAUAAUUUUGCCUUUGCAAACCUAAAACCCUAAGUCUUUUUCAGUCUGGUUUAUUUUAAUUUAUUUGGUUUAGACUUUGGGCUAAUGUUUCAGCCUCAUUUUCGGCCAGCAUGUUUAAGGCCUUUUAUCUUUGAGACUCCUAAGGGGUAAACCCUAUAUAACUCCAUGAAGUUGGCGAUUUUUGCCUAAGUCUUUUAUGAAAUAAUUUUGCCUUUGCAAACCUAAAACCCUAAGUCUUUUUCUGUGAGAAACAAGAGAGAGCAGCCGAAUCUUAUCAAACAAAAGGAUGAUAUUGUUCCAUUCCAUCCACCGAUUUGCCUUGAGAGUGAUACACAUCCAGCAAGCCAAAUCCCAUAGCUAUCCACCUCCAUCCACUGUUCUUGUUGAGAGAGAUACACAUCCAGCAACAAGGAUCCAUCCUCCAUACUUCUAUCCUUCUUUUGUUUUGUUUUAUCUUUCAUCAUAUAGUUCUAGCUUUUUCCAUUCAUUAUCAAAACUCAAAAAAAGUCAUAUUUGCUUCUGUUCUUCAUUGAUCAUAUUGUUUUCUUCCUGUUCCUUAUUCGAUUCAUAAAAACUAAUAAAAAUAUCAUCCUUUUGUUUCAGGAGCCAAAUCGGCCAACUCCCAGCCCAUCGCGACCGUCUAGCCGUCCCAUAGCCGUCCGUCCGUCCUGUCCAGUCCGAGUUUCCGAACCUCAGACUGUCCGUCCGUGCAGACUGUUUCCCGGCCUGUAUCAUUUUGGUAUCAGAGCUCAAAGCUCCUACACCUUCGGUUGUAUCCUAUCCCUGCUACUUUUGUUAUUUGGUUCAUCAUCUUGUCUUUCAAAAUUUUUGUUCUUGCUGUUCUUGGCGAGUUCAACUUGUUUUUCUUUUUCUGCAUAUCUUUUGAUCCGAUUUUAUGCAUCUUUCAUUCAAGUAAUAUGUUUUUGGCAUCAAUCGAUUUUCACUUUCCUUUUUGAUCAGAUUUUCCAUUUAAUUGCAUUUAAUUUCUUGGCUUGCACUUCAAGUUCUAUACAUUUUAUAAAAAAAAAAGAAAUAUUGUUCUUUCCAUUUUUUUUAAUUUUCGAAACUUAACUUUAAAAAAUAAAAAAAUAAAAAGGGAAGUUUUACAUUCAUUGAUCAUUGCAUAUAUUUCCCUUUCUCUUUGAUUCUUGCAGAUCACUUUUUCUUCUUCCUCUCUUGUCGCAGGAGACAUGGGAGACCUAAAUGGAGCACCUACACAAGCCGAGAUCAAUGCUCAGCUGAUGGCUAACCAUGCUGAACUCCAAGCCGCACUGGCUACUGUGACUGAGCAGCUGGCUCAUAUAGCAGGGAGGGACCGAGCUAAUGUACCAUGGCCAAGGAGGAGAAACCAACCCGUUCCAGAGGAACAACAGUCCCAAUCCAGUGAGGACAACUCGGACACUGACCGUACCGAACCAGAAGAGCCGCGGCGUGAACGAGCCGGACGUGGGAACCGACGGGAGUAUCGGGUCCAAGGCGAUGCAAGCCCGGUCCAAAGAAGAUUCCGAGACGAUGAAGUAGCUUGGCAAGGAGGCAAGGAUCUCAAACUUACUCCCCCAACCUUUGCUGGAAAGGUUGACCCGGACGCCUACAUUGAAUGGGAGAGGCGCAUGGAGUACAUCUUUGAGUACUACCGCUAUACCGAGGCCAAGAAGAUCGCCUUAGCCGCAGCCCAACUGACGGACAAUGCCCUAACCUGGUGGGACAGGGAAGUAGCCGAGGUCGGCAGGGUCUAUAGGAUUGAGACUUGGGAUGAGAUGCGAGCUAAGCUCCGUGCAAGGUAUAUUCCCUCAUACUAUCAGCGGGACUUACUAAAACGUUUUCGCAAGUUGUCUCAGGGUACUAGGUCCGUAGAGGAGUACUUUGAGGAGUUUGAGGCUCUCAAGAACAAGCUCAGGACGCGCGAGACCGAAGAGGUUAUGAUGGCUCAGUUCUUGGAAGGCCUUCAAGACCGCAUCGCUCGCAAGGUGGAGAGGCAGACCUACGUCAACUUCAAUGAUCUCCUCCAUUAUGCCAUUCAGGCCGAGCAGCACAUUAAAAGGAAGAACGCCUCUAGUGCCAGGAACAAGACGCCAUGGGCUUCAUCCGGAUCCAAGGGGGCUGAGAAGAACAAAUCCAUUGAAGUGGAAAACCGGUUUAAGAAGAACCAAACCGACCAGUCCAAACCAGGUUCAUCCGAACCAGGUAAGGGACAAACACAAGCUCAAAGAACUCGUGAUAUUACUUGUUUCAAAUGUCAGGGGAAGGGGCACUACGCCAGGGACUGCCCGAACAAGCGUGUCAUGAUCCUUAAGGCAGACGGCGAGUAUGAGUCCCAAGACGAGGCCGAUGUAGAGAUGGCUGACUCAGGAGACGAGAUAGUGGACUAUGCUGAAACUGGUGAGCUGCUGGUGGUCAGACGAGCUCUCAGUGCUCUCUUUGAUCCAGAAACCGUCCAACGAGAGAACAUCUUCCAUACUAGAUGUAGUGUGGAAGGCAAGGUAUGUAGUCUAAUUAUUGAUGGUGGCUCUUGCACUAACGUGGCCAGCAGGUACCUUGUUGAAAAGUUAGGGUUAGCAAAGUUGCCACACCCCAGGCCAUACAAGCUCAAGUGGCUCAAUGAUGAGACGUAUCUUAAAAUCUCGGAGCAAGUUGUUGUUUCCUUUAGUAUUGGUAAGUACCAGGACCAGGUGAAGUGUGAUGUGGUUCCUAUGCAAGCCGGCCAUCUGCUGUUAGGGAGGCCUUGGCAGUUUGACAAGGAGACCAUUCACCAUGGGAGGACUAACAUCUACAGCUUUACCCACAACAACAAGAAGCACAGCCUGGCUCCUCUAAGUCCACAAGAGGUGUACGAGAUGCAGAGGGCCAUGGAUCAGUCUGGAUUGUUUAGUAAAACUAACCUUUACAUCUCUUCUAGUAAAUUGAUUAAAUCAUUGCAGCAAGACACACAGGUGCUACUAAUGGUUUUCAAGGAAGGUUGUUUUGCAGGUUUUGAAGUACCAGAUUGUCCAGCUGAGAUGCAAGGACUAAUGGACCAGUACAAGGACGUGUACCCUGAAGAGAUACCAGCCGGCUUACCACCCCUCCGAGGCAUCGAACAUCAGAUAGACUUUGUGCCAGGCGCCCCACUUCCAAACCGAGCCGCAUACCGAGUCAAUCCGGAGGAGGCUAAGGAGCUGGAGAGACAGGUCCAAGACCUCAUGGACAAGGGGUAUAUUCGAGAGAGUCUCAGCCCAUGUGCAGUACCCGUCCUACUGGUGCCUAAGAAGGAUGGAACAUGGCGUAUGUGUGUUGAUUGCCGAGCCAUCCACAACAUCACCAUAAAAUAUCGGUACCCCAUUCCUAGACUUGAUGAUAUGUUAGAUGAACUGAGUGGUUCCACAGUGUUUUCCAAGAUUGAUCUUAGGAGUGGUUAUCACCAAGUUCGGAUGAAGGAGGGAGACGAGUGGAAGACUGCUUUCAAGACCAAGCAAGGCUUGUAUGAGUGGCUGGUGAUGCCCUUCGGUCUUACCAACGCCCCUAGUACCUUCAUGAGGCUUAUGAACGAGGUUCUAAGGCCUUACAUUGGUAAAUUUGUGGUUGUCUAUUUUGAUGACAUAUUGAUUUAUAGUCAGUGCUUAUCAGAUCACAUUAGUCAUGUAGAACAGGUUUUGAAGGCUCUCAGGCAGGAAGGACUCUUUGCCAAUCUCAAGAAGUGUGUAUUUUGCACUGACCAGUUAAUAUUUUUAGGCUUUGUUGUGAGCUCACAGGGUUUGAAGGUCGAUGAGGAGAAGAUCAAGGCCAUCCAAGACUGGCCCACACCGACCACUAUUGGGCAAGUCCGAAGUUUCCAUGGCCUAGCCAGCUUCUAUAGGCGGUUUGUCAAGGACUUCAGCACAAUUGCUGCACCCAUGACCUCAGUGAUCAAGAAGAAUGUAUCCUUUGUUUGGGGCCCUGCCCAAGAGGAGUCUUUCAACAAGCUUAAAUAUAGUUUAACUCAUGCACCCGUUCUUACACUCCCUGAUUUUAAUAAAACCUUUGAGAUUGAGUGUGAUGCAUCAGGUACAGGCAUUGGAGCUGUCCUCACUCAAGGGGGCCGACCAGUGGCAUUAUUUAGUGAGAAACUGAGUGGAGCCGCCCUCAACUACCCAACCUAUGACAAAGAGCUAUACGCUCUAGUAAGGUCCCUUGAAACUUGGCAGCAUUACCUUUUGUCUAAGGAAUUUGUUAUUCAUACAGAUCAUGAGACACUUAAGCACUUGAGGGGACAGACCACACUCAAGAAGAGGCACGCCAGAUGGCUCGAGUUCGUGGAGACCUUUCCCUAUGUGAUCAAGUACAAGAAGGGCAAGGACAAUGUGGUGGCAGAUGCACUGUCCCGGAGACACACUCUCAUUGUGACCAUGGAGGCCAAGAUCAUGGGUUUCGAACAUAUUAAAGAAUCUUAUGCCACUGAUCUUGAUUUUAAUGAAGUUUUCAGGAACACUGAGAAGGGGGCUUUAGGGCCAUACUACCAGCAUGAGGGAUGAUCUUGAUUUUAAUGAAGUUUUCAGGAACACUGAGAAGGGGGCUUUUGGAGCAUACUACCAGCACGAGGGGUUCCUGUUCAAGGGCAAGAGACUGUGCAUUCCCAAAGGAGCCAUGAGGGAACUGCUGGUUCGGGAGGCCCAUGGUGGCGGCCUCAUGGGACACUUUGGUCGGGACAAGACCCUGAGUGUCCUAACUGAACAUUUCUUUUGGCCAAACAUGAAGAGGGAUGUGGAGAGCAUAUGCGCCAAGUGCACUACUUGCCUCAAAACCAAGUCCAGGUCACAUCCUUACGGUUUACAAAUGCCAUUACCGAUUCCUAACCACCCUUGGGUAGACAUUUCUAUGGACUUUGUGCUGGGUUUACCCAAGAUAAACCACAAGGAUUCCAUUUUUGUAGUGGUAGACAGGUUCUCCAAGAUGGCCCAUUUCAUAGCCUGUAACACCACUAAUGAUGCCACUCAGACCGCCGACCUAUUUUUCAAAGAAGUGGUCCGACUACAUGGAGUUCCUCGAACCAUUGUGUCUGACCGUGAUACCAAGUUCCUCAGCAAUUUCUGGAGGACACUAUGGGGCAAGUUCGGAACCAAGCUACUAUUCUCGACCACGUGCCAUCCCCAGACCAAUGGCCAGACUGAGGUAGUAAACCGUACGCUUUCUCAACUGUUGAGAGCUACGGUCGGUAAGAAUUUAAGAAAUUUGUUGUCUUGUUUGCCUUUUGUCGAGUUUGCUUAUAACCAUGCUAGGCACUCUACUACUAACCUGUCACCUUUUGAGAUUGUUUAUGGGUUUCAGCCAGAGACUCCUUUAGACUUCACCGAACUGCCCAGCUCCAUGUACCGCAGUCGUGAUGGGGCCGCCAAGGCAGAGUUUGUUAAGAAUAUGCACCUAAAGGUCAAGGAGAGGAUAGAAGCCAAGGCGGCUAAGGUCAAGGCCAAGUAUGACCAGAAGAGGAAGGAGGUACUGUUCGAACCCGGGGACUUGGUGUGGUUACACAUGCGACCCGAGAGGUUUCCAGAAGCCCGGAAGUCCAAGCUCUCGCCUCGUGGGACAGGACCAUUCCGCAUCCUAAAGAAGAUCAACGACAAUGCCUAUAUCCUUGACCUCCCUGCUGAAUUUAAAAUUUCACAUACUUUCAAUGUCUCGGAUUUGUCUCCUUUCCAUGCAGAUAGUGAUGACUUUGCAGAUGAUGGUGUUCUGAGGCCAGAACCUCUUCAAGAGGGAGGGAAUGAUGAGGCCAUCCAAGUAGAGGUUCCCAUUGUUAGGCGCGGUCCGACUACCCGGAGUGGAACCAGGGCCUUGCGAGAAGGUUUCACCAAAGCUGUCCAGCAUAUCCUUGAUCAAGAUGGACAGACUGACCAGGACCAGCUGCUGAUUGAGAAGAUGGUCCAGUUGAAGAUUCAAGAUCAAGCCGGCCCAAAGGAGGUUCAGGACGCGGCCGACCCGAUCCAGUUCAGACUCAACCAAGCCGGACUUCUCAUCUCCACAUCCGAGCUUGGUCCAGACUCAGUUUCCAUUUCAUCCACUCCAACUCUUUCCGGUUCUGAGAUCUAGCCGACCACCAAAGGGAGUAGCAUGUGUUGUACUCUUUUUCCUCACCAGGUUUUGUCCCAUUGGGUUUUCUUGGUAAGGUGUUAAUGAGGCAACAUGCAAGCAUGCUAUUAGCCUUGGUCUAAGCCUUCUCAAACCGACAACCAGAUGUCUGGUUUAUUUUAAUUUAUUUGGUUUAGACUUUGGGCUAAUGUUUCAGCCUCAUUUUCGGCCAGCAUGUUUAAGGCCUUUUAUCUUUGAGACUCCUAAGGGGUAAACCCUAUAUAACUCCAUGAAGUUGGCGAUUUUUGCCUAAGUCUUUUAUGAAAUAAUUUUGCCUUUGCAAACCUAAAACCCUAAGUCUUUUUCUGUGAGAAACAAGAGAGAGCAGCCGAAUCUUAUCAAGCUUCAAACAACCAAGCUUGUGGCGAUUCUUCACCUCCAUUCCAUCCACCGAUUUGCCUUGAGAGUGAUACACAUCCAGCAAGCCAAAUCCCAUAGCUAUCCACCUCCAUCCACUGUUCUUGUUGAGAGAGAUACACAUCCAGCAACAAGGAUCCAUCCUCCAUACUUCUAUCCAUCUUUNNNNNNNNNNNNNNNNNNNNNNNNNNNNNNNNNNNNNNNNNNNNNNNNNNNNNNNNNNNNNNNNNNNNNNNNNNNNNNNNNNNNNNNNNNNNNNNNNNNNNNNNNNNNNNNNNNNNNNNNNNNNNNNNNNNNNNNNNNNNNNNNNNNNNNNNNNNNNNNNNNNNNNNNNNNNNNNNNNNNNNNNNNNNNNNNNNNNNNNNNNNNNNNNNNNNNNNNNNNNNNNNNNNNNNNNNNNNNNNNNNNNNNNNNNNNNNNNNNNNNNNNNNNNNNNNNNNNNNNNNNNNNNNNNNNNNNNNNNNNNNNNNNNNNNNNNNNNNNNNNNNNNNNNNNNNNNNNNNNNNNNNNNNNNNNNNNNNNNNNNNNNNNNNNNNNNNNNNNNNNNNNNNNNNNNNNNNNNNNNNNNNNNNNNNNNNNNNNNNNNNNNNNNNNNNNNNNNNNNNNNNNNNNNNNNNNNNNNNNNNNNNNNNNNNNNNNNNNNNNNNNNNNNNNNNNNNNNNNNNNNNNNNNNNNNNNNNNNNNNNNNNNNNNNCCAUGGGAGACCUAAAUGGUGCACCAACACAAGCCGAGAUCAAUGCUCAGCUGAUGGCUAACCAUGCUGAACUCCAAGCCGCCCUGGCUACUGUGACUGAGCAGCUGGCUCAGAUAGCAGGAAGGGAUCGAGCUAAUGUUCCACGGCCAAGGAGGAGAAACCAACCCAUUCCGGAAGAACAACAGUCCCAAUCCAGUGAGGACAACUCGGACACUGACCAUACCGAACCAGAAGAGCCGCGGCGUGAACGAGCCGGACGUGGGAACCGACAGGAAUAUCGGGUCCAAGGCGAUGCAAGCCCGGUCCAAAGGAGAUUUAGAGACGAUGAAGUAGCUUGGCAGGGAGGCAAGGAUCUCAAACUUACUCCUCCGACCUUUGCUGGAAAGGUUGACCCGGACGCCUAUAUCGAAUGGGAGAGGCGCAUGGAGUACAUCUUUGAGUACUACCGCUAUACCAAGGCCAAGAAGAUCGCCUUAGCCGCAGCCCAACUGACGGACAAUGCCCUAACCUGGUGGGACAGGGAAGUAGCCGAGGUUGGCAGAGUCUAUAGGAUCGAGACUUGGGAUGAGAUGCGAGCUAAGCUCCGUGCAAGGUAUAUUCCCUCAUACUAUCAGCGGGACUUACUAAAACGUUUUCGCAAGUUGUCUCAGGGUACUAGGACCAUAGAGGAGUACUUUGAGGAGUUCGAGGCUCUCAAGAACAAGCUCAGGACGCGCGAGACCGAAGAGGUUAUGAUGACUCAGUUCUUGGAAGGCCUUCAAGACCGCAUCGCUCGCAAGGUGGAGAGGCAGACCUACGUCAACUUCAAUGAUCUCCUCCACUAUGCCAUACAGGCCGAGCAGCACAUUAAGAGGAAGAACGCCUCUAGUGCCAGGAACAAGACGCCAUGGGUUUCAUCCGGACCCAAGGGGGCUGAGAAGAACAAAUCCAUUGAAGUGGAAAACCGGUUCAAGAAGAACCAAACCGACCAGUCCAAACCAGGUUCAUCCGAACCAGGUAAGGGACAAACACAAGCUCAAAGAACUCGUGAUAUUACUUGUUUCAAAUGUCAGGGGAAGGGGCACUACGCCAGGGACUGCCCGAACAAGCGUGUCAUGAUCCUUAAGGCAGACGGCGAGUAUGAGUCCCAAGACGAGGCCGAUGUAGAGAUGGCUGAAUCAGGAGACGAGAUAGUGGACUAUGCUGAAACUGGUGAGCUGCUGGUGGUCAGACGAGCUCUCAGUGCUCUCUUUGAUCCAGAAACCGUCCAACGAGAGAACAUCUUCCAUACUAGAUGUAGUGUGGAAGGCAAGGUAUGUAGUCUAAUUAUUGAUGGUGGCUCUUGCACUAACGUGGCCAGCAGGUACCUUGUUGAAAAGUUAGGACUAGCAAAGUUGCCACACCCCAGGCCAUACAAGCUCAAGUGGCUCAAUGAUGAGACGGAGCUUAAAAUCUCGGAGCAAGUUGUUGUUUCCUUUAGUAUUGGUAAGUACCAGGACCAGGUGAAGUGUGAUGUGGUUCCUAUGCAAGCCGGCCAUCUGCUGUUAGGGAGGCCUUGGCAGUUUGACAAGGAGACCAUUCACCAUGGGAGGACUAACAUCUACAGCUUUACCCACAACAACAAGAAGCACAGCCUGGCUCCUCUAAGUCCACAAGAGGUGUACGAGAUGCAGAGGGCCAUGGAUCAGUCUGGAUUGUUUAGUAAAACUAACCUUUACAUCUCUUCGAGUAAAUUGAUUAAAUCAUUGCAGCAAGACACACAGGUGCUACUAAUGGUUUUCAAGGAAGGUUGUUUUGCAGGUUUUGAAGUACCAGAUUGUCCAGCUGAGAUGCAAGGACUAAUGGACCAGUACAAGGACGUGUUCCCUGAAGAGAUACCAGUCGGCUUACCACCCCUCCGAGGCAUCGAACAUCAGAUAGACUUUGUGCCAGGCGCCCCACUUCCAAACCGAGCCGCAUACCGAGUCAAUCCGGAGGAGGCUAAGGAGCUGGAGAGACAGGUCGAAGACCUCAUGGACAAGGGGUAUAUUCGAGACAGUCUCAGCCCAUGUGCAGUACCCGUCCUAUUGGUGCCUAAGAAGGAUGGAACAUGGCGUAUGUGUGUUGAUUGCCGAGCCAUCAACAACAUCACCAUAAAAUAUCUGUACCCCAUUCCUAGACUUGAUGAUAUGUUAGAUGAACUGAGUGGUUCCACAGUGUUUUCCAAGAUUGAUCUUAGGAGUGGUUAUCACCAAGUUCGGAUGAAAGAGGGAGACGAGUGGAAGACUGCUUUCAAGACCAAGCAAGGCUUGUAUGAGUGGCUGGUGAUGCCCUUCGGUCUUACCAACGCCCCUAGUACCUUCAUGAGGCUUAUGAACGAGGUUCUAAGGCCUUACAUUGGUAAAUUUGUGGUUGUCUAUUUUGAUGACAUAUUGAUUUAUAGUCAGUGCUUAUCAGAUCACAUUAGUCAUGUAGAACAGGUUUUGAAGGCUCUCAGGCAGGAAGGACUCUUUGCCAAUCUCAAGAAGUGUGUAUUUUGCACUGACCAGUUAAUAUUUUUAGGCUUUGUUGUGAGCUCACAGGGUUUGAAGGUCGAUGAGGAGAAGAUCAAGGCCAUCCAAGACUGGCCCACACCGACCACGAUUGGGCAAGUCCGAAGUUUCCAUGGCCUAGCCAGCUUCUAUAGGCGGUUUGUCAAGGACUUCAGCACCAUUGCUGCACCCAUGACCUCAGUGAUCAAGAAGAAUGUAUCCUUUGUUUGGAGCCCUGCCCAAGAGGAGUCUUUCAACAAGCUUAAAUAUAGUUUAACUCAUGCACCCGUUCUUACACUCCCUGAUUUUAAUAAAACUUUUGAGAUUGAGUGUGAUGCAUCAGGUACAGGCAUUGGAGCUGUCCUCACUCAAGGGGGCCGGCCAGUGGCAUUCUUUAGUGAGAAACUGAGUGGAGCUGCCCUCAACUACCCAACCUAUGACAAAGAGCUAUACGCUCUAGUAAGGUCCCUUGAAACUUGGCAGCAUUACCUUUUGUCUAAGGAAUUUGUUAUUCAUACAGAUCAUGAGACACUUAAGCACUUGAGGGGACAGACCACACUCAAGAAGAGGCACGCCAGAUGGCUCGAGUUCGUGGAGACCUUUCCCUAUGUGAUCAAGUACAAGAAGGGCAAGGACAAUGUGGUGGCAGAUGCACUGUCCCGGAGACACACUCUCAUUGUGACCAUGGAGGCCAAGAUCAUGGGUUUCGAACAUAUUAAAGAAUCUUAUGCCACUGAUCUUGAUUUUGAUGAAGUUUUCAGGAACACUGAGAGGGGGGCUUUAGGGCCAUACUACCAGCAUGAGGGGUUCCUGUUCAAGGGAAAGAGGCUGUGCAUUCCCAAAGGAGCCAUGAGGGAACUGCUGGUUCGGGAGGCCCAUGGUGGCGGCCUCAUGGGACACUUUGGUCGGGACAAGACCCUGAGUGUCCUAACUGAACAUUUCUUUUGGCCAAACAUGAAGAGGGAUGUGGAGAGCAUAUGCGCCAAGUGCACUACUUGCCUCAAAACCAAGUCCAGGUCACAUCCUUACGGUUUACAAAUGCCAUUACCGAUUCCUAACCACCCUUGGGUAGACAUUUCUAUGGACUUUGUGCUGGGUUUACCCAAGAUAAACCACAAGGAUUCCAUUUUUGUAGUGGUAGACAGGUUCUCCAAGAUGGCCCAUUUCAUAGCCUGUAACACCACUAAUGAUGCCACUCAGACCGCCGACCUAUUCUUCAAAGAAGUGGUCCGACUACAUGGUGUUCCUCGAACCAUUGUGUCUGACCGUGAUACCAAGUUCCUCAGCCAUUUCUGGAGGACACUAUGGGGCAAGUUCGGAACCAAGCUACUAUUCUCGACCACGUGCCACCCCCAGACCGACGGCCAGACUGAGGUAGUAAACCGUACGCUUUCUCAACUGUUGAGAGCUACGGUCGGUAAGAAUUUAAGGAAUUGGUUAUAUUGUUUGCCUUUUGUCGAGUUUGCUUAUAACCAUGCUAGGCACUCUACUACUAACCUGUCACCUUUUGAGAUUGUUUAUGGGUUUCAGCCAGAGACUCCUUUAGACUUCACCGAACUGCCCAGCUCCAUGUACCGCAGUCGUGAUGGGGCCGCCAAGGCAGAGUUUGUUAAGAAUAUGCACCUAAAGGUCAGGGAGAGGAUAGAAGCCAAGGCGGCUAAGGUCAAGGCCAAGUAUGACCAGAAGAGGAAGGAGGUACUGUUCGAACCUGGGGACUUGGUGUGGCUACACAUGCGGCCCGAGAGGUUUCCAGAAUCCCGGAAGUCCAAGCUCUCACCUCGUGGAACAGGACCAUUCCGCAUCCUAAAGAAGAUCAACGACAAUGCCUAUAUCCUUGACCUCCCUGCUGAAUUUAAAAUUUCACAUACUUUCAAUGUCUCGGAUUUGUCUCCUUUCCAUGCAGAUAGUGAUGACUUUGCAGAUGAUGGUGUUCUGAGGCCAGAACCUCUUCAAGAGGGAGGGAAUGAUGAGCAAACCUAAAACCCUAAGUCUUUUUCUGUGAGAAACAAGAGAGAGCAGCCGAAUCUUAUCAAGCUUCAAACCACCAAGCUUGUGGCGAUUCUUCACCUCCAUUCCAUCCACCGAUUUGCCUUGAGAGUGAUACACAUCCAGCAAGCCAAAUCCCAUAGCUAUCCACCUCCAUCCACUGUUCUUGUUGAGAGAGAUACACAUCCAGCAACAAGGAUCCAUCCCCCAUACUUCUAUCCAUCUUUUGUUUUGUUUUAUCUUGCAUCAUAUAGUUCUAGAUUUUUCCAUUCAUUAUAAAAAUCCAUAAAAAGUCAUAUUUGCUUCUGUUCUUCAUUAAUCAUAUUGUUUACUUUCUGUUCAUUAUUUGGUUCAUAAAAACUCAUAAAAAAAUAGCAUCCUUUUGUUUCAGGAACCAGAUCGGCCAUCUCCCACUCCAUCGCGUCCGUCUAGCCAUCCCAUAGCCGUCCGUCCGUCCUGUCCGGUCCGAGUUCUCGAACCUCAGACCGUCCGUCCGUGCAGACUGAUUCCCAGCCUGUAUCAACACGGACACACACGAACAGCCACGGACGUCCUGUGUGUGCUGGCGGACACCCACGGACGUUCUGUUUGUACUGAACAGACAGCCCACGUGGGCCAAAAUCACCCGAACAGUCCACGGGAAGGGCCAGCGUGCUGUCUAAGGACCAGCGUGCUGAUAUGUGUACUGAUGGACAGCCACGGACGUCCUGUGUGUGCUGAUGGACACACACGGACGUCCUGUGUGUGCUGAUGGACACACACAGACGUCCUGUGUGUGCUGACGGACACCCACGGACGUCCUGUGUGAGCUGGCGGCACCCACGGACAUCCUGUGUGCACUGAACAGACAGCCCACAUGGGCCAAAAUCACCCGAACAGUCCACGGGAAGGGUCAGCGUGCUGAGUCCAAGGACCAACGUGCUGAUAUGUGUACUGAUGGACAGCCACAGACGUCAUGUGUGUGCUGAUGGACACACACGGACAGCCACAGAUGACCUGUGUGUCCUGACGGACACACACGGACGUCCUGUGUGUGCUGACGGACACCAACGGAUGUCCUGUGUGUACUGAACAGACAGCCCACGUGGGCCAAAAUCACCCGAACAGUCCACGGGAAGGGCAGCGUGCUGAGUCCAAGGACCAGCGUGCUGAUAUGUGUAUUGAUGGACAGCCACAGACGUCUUGUGUGUGCUGACGGAGAAACACGGACACACACUGACACACACGGACAGCCAUGGAUGUCUUGUGUGUGCUGAUGGACAGCCACAGACGGCCUGUGUGUACUGAACAGACACCCCACAUGGGCCAAAAUCACCUGAACAGUCCACAGGAAAGGCCAGCGUGCUGAGUCCAAGGACCAGCGUGCUGAUAUGUGUACUGAUGAAUAGCCACAGACGUCCUGUGUGUGCUGACGGAGACACACAGACACACACUGACACACACGGACAGCCAUGGAUGUCUUGUGUGUGCUGAUGGACAGCCACAGACGUCCUGUGUGUACUGAACAGACAGCCCACAUGGGCCAAAAUCACCUGAACAGUCCAUGGGAAGGGUCAGCGUGCUGAGUCCAAGGACCAACGUGCUGAUAUGUGUACGGAUGGACAGCCACGGACGUCCUGUGUGUGCUGACGGACACACACGGACACACACGGACAGCCACAGACGACCUGUGUGUGCUGACGGACACACACGGACGUCCUGUGUGUGCUGACGGACACCCACGGACGUCCUGUGUGUGCUGGCGGACAGCCACGGACAUCCUGUGUGUACUGAACAGACAGCCCACGUGGGCCAAAAUCACCCAAACAGUCCACGAGAUGGCCCAUCGUGCUCAUUCCAAGGACCAACGUGCUGAUAUGUGCUGACGGACACACACGGACACACACACGGACAGCUACGGACGUUCUUUAUGUGCUGACAAACACACACGAACAUCAUGUGUGUGCUGACGGACACCCACGGACGUCAUGUGUGUACUGAACAGACAUCCCACGUGGGCCAAAACCACCCGAAGAGUCCACGGGAAGGGCCAGUGUGCUGAGUCCAAAGAACAGCAUGCUAAUAUGUGUACUGAUGGACAGCCAGGAACGGCCUGUGUGUCAUGACGAAAACACACGGACACACACGGACAGCCACGGACGUCCUAUGUGUGCUGACAGACAGCCACGAACGUCCUGUGUGUGCUGGCGGACACCCACGGACGUCCUGUGUGUACUGAACAAACAGCCCACGUGGGCCAAAAUCAUCCAAACAGCCCACGGGAUGGGCCAGCGUGCUGAGUUCAAGGACCAACGUGCUGAUAUGUGUACUGAUGGACAGCCACGGACGUCCUGUGUGUGCUGACGGAGACACAAGGACACACACGGACAGCCACAGACGUCCUAUGUGUGCUAACAGACACACAUGAACGUCCAGUGUGUGCUGACGGACAGCCACAGACGUCCUGUGUGUACUGAACAGACAGCCCACAUGGGCCAAAAUCACCCGAACAGUCCACGGGAAGGGUCAGCGUGCUGAGUCCAAGGACCAACGUGCUGCUAUGUGUACUGAUGGACAGCCACAUACGUCCUGUGUGUGCUGACAGACACACACGGACAACCACGGACGACCUGUGUGUGCUGACGGACACACACGGACGUCCUGUGUGUGCUGACGGACACCCACGGAUGUCCUGUGUGUACUGAAAACACAGCCCACGUGGGCCAAAAUCACCCGAACAGUCCAUGGGAAGGGCCAGCGUGCUGAGUCCAAGGACCAGCAUGCUGAUAUGUGUACUGAUGGACAGCCACAGACGUCAUAUGUGUGCUGACGGAUUCACACGGACACACACUGACACACACGGACAGCCAUGGAUGUCUUGUGUGUGCUGAUGGACAGCCACAGACGUUCUGUGUGUACUGAACAGACAGCCCACAUGGGCCAAAAUCACCUGAACAGUCCACGGGAAAGGCCAGCGUGCUGAGUCCAAGGACCAGCGUGCUGAUAUGUGUACUGAUGGACAGCCACGGACGUCCUGUGUGUGUUGACGGACACACACGGACACACACAGACCCACACGGACAGCCACAUACGUCCUAUGUGUGCUAACGGACAGCCACGAACAACCACGAACGUACUGUGUGUGCUGGCGGACACCCACGGACGUCAUGUGUGUACUGAACAAACAGCCCACGUGGGCCAAAAUUACCCAAACAGUCCCCGGGAUGGGCCAGCGUGCUUAGUCCAAGGACCAACGUGCUGAUAUGUGUACUGAUGGACAGCCACGGAUUUCCUGUGUGCUGACGGACAGACACGGACACACACGGACAGCCACAGACAUCCUAUGUGUGCUGACCAACACACACGAACAUCCUGUGUCUGCUGAUGGACACCCACGGAUGUCUUGUGUGUACUGAACAGACAGCCCACAUGGGCCAAAAUCACCCAAACAUUCCACAGGACGGGCCAGCGUGCUGAGUCCAAGGACCAACGUGCUGAGUCCAAGGACCAACGUGCUGAUAUGUGUACUGAUGGACAGCCACGGACAUCCUGUGUGUGCUGACGGACACAGACGGACACACACGAACACACACGAACAGCCACAGACGUCCUGUGUGUGCUGGCGGACACCCACAGACAUUCUGUGUGCAUUGAACAGACAGCCCACGUGGGCAAAAUCACCCAAACAGUCCACGGGAAGGGCCAGCGUGCUGAGUCCAAGGACCAGCAUGCUGAUAUGUCUACUGAUGGACGGCCAUGAACGUCCUGUAUGUGUAGACGGACACACACGGACACACACUGACACACACUGACAGCCAUAGAUGUCUUGUGUGUGCUGACAGAUAGACACUGACAGCCACGGACGUCCUGUGUUUGCUGGCGGACACCCACCGACAUCCUGUGUGUACUGAACAAACAGCCCACGUGGGCCAAAAUAACCCAAACAGUCCACGGAAAGGGCCAGCGUGCUGAGUCCGAGGACCAGCGUGCUGAUAUGUGUACUGAUGGACAGCCACGGAUGUCCUGUGUGUGCUGAUGGACACACACGGACACACACGGACGUCCUGUGUGCUGACGGACACACACAAACGUCCUGGGUGUGCUGACGGACAGCCACGGACGUCCUGUGUGUGUUGGCGGACACCCACGGACGUCCUGUUUGUACUGAACAGACAGCCCACGUGGGCCAAAAUCACCCAAACAAUCAACGGGAAGGGCCAGCAUGCUGAGUCCAAAGACCAACGUGCUGAUAUGUGUACUGAUGGGCAGCCACAGACGUCCUGUGUGUGCUGACGGAAACACACGGACACACACGGACAGCCACAGACAUCCUGUGUGUGCUGGCGGACACCCACGGACGUCCUGUGUGUACUGAACAGACAGCCCACGUAGGCCAAAAUCACCCGAACAGUCCAUGGGAAGGGUCAGCGUGCUGAGUCCAAGGACCAACGUGCUGAUAUGUGUACUGAUGGAUAACCACGGACGUCCUCUGUGUGUUAAAGGACACACACGGACAGCCACAGACGUCAUGUGUGUGCUGACGGACACCCACGGACGUCCUGUGUGUGCUGACGGACACACACAGACAGCCACAGACGUCAUGUGUGUGCUGACGGACACCCACGGACGUCCUGUGUGUACUGAACAGACAGCCCACGUGGGCCAAAAUCACCCGAAUAGUCCACGGGAAGGGCCAGCGUGCUGAGUCCAAGGACCAGCGUUCUGAUAUGUGUACUGAUGGACAGCCACAGACGUCCUGUGUCUGCUGACGGACACACACGGACAGCCACAGACGUCAUGUGUGUUCUGACGGACAGCCACAAACAGCCAUGGACAUCCUGUGUCUGCUGGCGGACACCCACGGACGUCCUGUGUGUACUGAACAGACAGCCCAUGUGGGCCAAAAUCACCCAAACAGUCCACAGGAAGGGCAAGACUGCUGAGUCCAUGAUACAGGCCGGGAAUCAGAUUGCACGGACGGACGGUCUGAGAUUCAAGAACUCGGACUGGACAGAACGGACGGACGGCUAUGGGACGGCUAGACGGACGCGAUGGAGUGGGAGAUGGCCGAUCUGGUUCCUGAAACAAAAGGGUGCUAUUUUUAUGAGUUUUUAUGAAUCAAAAUGAUGAACAGAAAGAGAACUAUAUGAUAAAUGAAGAACGGAAGCAAAUAGAACUUUUUAUGGGUUUUUAUAAUGAAUGGAAAAAUCUAGAACUAUAUGAUGCGAGAUAAAACAAAAUAAGAGAAGGAUAGAGGUAUGGGGGAUGGAUCCUUGUUGCUGGAUGUGUAUCUCUCUCAACAAGAACGGUGGAUGGAGGUGGAUAGAUAUGGGAUUUGGCUUGCUGGAUGUGUAUCACUCUCAAGGCAAAUCGAUGGAUGGAAUGGAGGUGAAGAAUCGCCACAAGCUUCGUGGUUUGAAGCUUGAUAAGAUUCGGCUGCUCUCUCUUGUUUCUCACAGAAAAAGACUUAGGGUUUUAGGUUUGCAAAGGCAAAAUUAUUUCAUAAAAGACUUAGGCAAAAAUCGCCAACUUCAUGGAGUUAUAUAGGGUUUACCCCUUAUGGGACUCAAAGAUAAAAGGCCUUAAACAAGCUGGCCGAAAAUGAGGCUGAAACAAUAGCCCAAAGUCUUAACCAAAUAAAUUAAAAUAAACCAGACAUCUGGUUGUCGGUUUGAGAAGGCCUAGACCAAGGCUAAUAGCAUGCUUGCAUGUUGCCUCAUUAAAACCUUACCAAGAAAACCCAAUGGGACAAAACCUGGUGAGGAAAAAGAGUGCAACACAUGCUACUCCCCUUGGUGGUUGGCUAGAUCUCAGAACCGGGAAGAGUUGGAGUGGAUGAAAUGGAAACUGAGUCUGGACCAAGCUCGGAUGUGGAAAUGAGAAGUCCAGUUUGGUUGAGUCUAAACUGGAUCGGGUCGGCCGCGUCCUGAACCUCCUUUGGGCCGGCUUGAUCUUGAAUCUUCAACUGGACCAUCUUCUCAAUCAGCAGCUGGUCCUGGUCAGUCUGUCCAUCUUGAUCAAGGAUUUGUUGGACAGUUUUGGUGAAACCUUCUCGCAAGGCCCUUGUUCCACUCCGGGUAGUCGGACCGCGCCUAACUAUGGGAACCUCUACUUGGAUGGCCUCAUCAG